This 497-nucleotide ribosomal RNA is filed under the name uncultured bacterium. RNAcentral describes it as "partial 16S ribosomal RNA". It matches the Rfam family "Bacterial small subunit ribosomal RNA", at positions 28 to 507 of the family's 1533-position model. The record is from RNAcentral.
GAUGAACGCUGGCGGCGUGCCUAAUACAUGCAAGUCGAGCGAACGGACGCGGAGCUUGCUGUUCUGUUGUUAGCGGCGGACGGGUGUGUAACACGUGUAUCCCCUACCUAUAAUACUGGUAUCAUUUCGGGACACCGGCGCUAAUACCGUAUAAUCUUUUGAACCGCAUUGUUCAAAAGUGAAAGACGGUCUUUCUGUCACUUCUCGCUGGAUCCGCGCUGCAUUAGCUAGUUGGUAAGGUAACGGCUUACCAAGGCAACGAUGCAUAGCCGAACUGAGAGGGUGAUCGGCCACACUGGAACUGAGACACGGUCCAGACUCCUACGGGAGGCAGCAGUAGGGAAUCUUCCGCAAUGGGCGAAAGCAUGACGGAGCAACGCCGAGUGAGUGAUGAAGGUCUUCGGAGCGUAAAACUCGGUUAUGAGGGAAGAACAGAUGUGUAAGGAAAUGUGCACAUCUUGACGGUAACUAAUCAGAAAGCCACGGCUAACUACGUG